RNAcentral lists this long non-coding RNA (1619 nucleotides) under Hordeum vulgare. Its description in RNAcentral is "long non-coding RNA (HVUL_LNC001240)". Lineage: Eukaryota; Viridiplantae; Streptophyta; Magnoliopsida; Poales; Poaceae. The record is from RNAcentral.
AAAAAUACCGCGGUGGGUUUUCCGACGGAAGCAAUAGCCGCUUUAUUAUUAGGUAUAUAUUGUUUCUCCUAGUUCACCUACACGCUUUCUUUUGCAUAUAUUUAAAAACUGCUAAAAUUUCAGCAAACAUUACAUUUUGAAAAUUCAUAUAAAUUCAACCAUGUAUCAGAUUAAAACAAUUUAUAUAUGAAACUUAACUAAAAUUGUAUGUAGAUUCGUAAUAUGUCAUUUUCAACCAUGAUAAAAAUAUUUAAACAUGUUGUUUGCAUUGUUUUGUAUCAUGCCAUAUUAAGAAUGAUUUAAUCCGUAGCAAAUUAAUCGUGUAUCGGAUUUAAAAACUUUAUACAUGGAAAAUGCUUAGAAUUUCGUGUAGUUUCAUAAUAUCCAACUUUCAUGCAUAUUAAAAAUAGUUAACUUGUUGUUUUCAUUUAAUUUGCAUAAAUGUCAUGUUAAAACGAUUUAUUUCAUAACUAAUUAAUCGUAGCUUCGAUUCAAAUAUUUUAUAUAUGUAACAUGACUAGAAAAAUAUGUAAAAUAACAUAGCGGCAUUUAUUUUGAUGUUUAACAACUCUAAAAUUGUGUUAUAGGCAUAACAGUACCGAAAACUUUAUUUGCAUAUGAGGACUUUCCAAAAUGGUUAUUCGUUGUUUCGGCCUCAUUUCAAGUUGCCUAGAAUUUCCAGUAGCUCCAAGAUAUCUUGGUUCAUUCAUGGUUUAACAUGUUGUGGCUGUCAUUUGCAUGCAUUUUGUAUUCAUGACAUUUAAUCUUGUGUUCCUCAUAUGUUUUAAAACUUAGUUCUGUUUUAAAUGAUCUUUAUAUGUAAAUCGACUAGAAUGACGUGUAGAAUCACAUUGCCCACUUUAUUUUGCUGUUUGAAUAAAUAUAAAAUGUGUCAAUUCAGAUCUGCACCUAUGUAGGUAUUUUAAAUGAGGUCGGAAACAACAUAUACUAUUUAUGAACUAAAUAAAUUGAAUGUGGAGUUUCAUCAAUAGGCAACUUGUUGCAUAUCGAGCUUUACUUAAUGUGUAGUGUUUGCUUGUUGUGAAUUGCCAUGCCGAGCCUUGCAUAAUUAACCCGAACAUGCAUCAUAUUGCUUGCACAUCAUGCCGUGCAUAUUUUGUAUUGCUAUCGUGUGUUAAUUGUUGUUUUCGGAUUGUUUCUUCUCAAUACAGUCCCGAACCGCUUCAGGGUGUGAGGAUUCAUUCGACUACGUCGGUUCGUGUACUUCAUGGAUUCGUUCUUCUUGCAAGCAGGAUCACACGCAAGAUGGUCAUUUCCCUAGAUACCAGUACCAUCAUUGCUAUGCUAGUUGUCUCAUUUCUUUCACUAUGUCUCACUGCUUACAACCUGUCAGCCUCCCAACAUUGCCAUGAAAGGCCUCUAACCCCCUCCAUAACCCAUCAAACCUUGUUUGGCUAUAUUACUGCUUGAUCAACCUUCUUAUAACUUUGCUAGUUGCAGGUCCAAUUUCUUCCAUGUGAAAACAUGGAUUCCUUGCUAUGUCAUCAUAUUAUUGCUAGUUAAUUUAGAGCAUCUAUACACUUGGUAAAAGGUGGAAGGCUUCGCCUUCUAGCUCGGUGUUUUGUUCUAUCUUUGCUGCUCUAAAUACUUGUGGACCG